UGGGGAAUUUUCCGCAAUGGGCGAAAGCCUGACGGAGCAAUGCCGCGUGGAGGUGGAGGGCCUACGGGUCGUCAACUUCUUUUCUCGGAGAAGAAACAAUGACGGUAUCUGAGGAAUAAGCAUCGGCUAACUCUGUGCUAG
This 141-nucleotide ribosomal RNA is filed under the name uncultured bacterium. RNAcentral describes it as "partial 16S rRNA". It matches the Rfam family "Bacterial small subunit ribosomal RNA", at positions 355 to 511 of the family's 1533-position model. The record is from RNAcentral.